This 1085-nucleotide unclassified non-coding RNA is filed under the name uncultured Bordetella sp. Its description in RNAcentral is "partial 16S-23S ribosomal RNA intergenic spacer". It matches the Rfam family "Bacterial small subunit ribosomal RNA", at positions 9 to 1111 of the family's 1533-position model. Lineage: Bacteria; Pseudomonadati; Pseudomonadota; Betaproteobacteria; Burkholderiales; Alcaligenaceae. The record is from RNAcentral.
CAGUUCGAUCAUAGCUCAGAUUGAACGCUGGCGGGAUGCUUUACACAUGCAAAGUCGGAACGGCAGCACGGACUUCGGUCUGGUGGCGAGUGGCGAACGGGUGAGUAGUAUCGGAACGUGCCUAGUAGCGGGGAUCGCUACGCGAAAGCGUAGCUAAUACCGCAUACGCCCUUCGGGGAAAGCGGGGACCUUCGGGCCUCGCACUAUUGACGGCGAUAUCGGAUUAGCUAGUUGGUGGGGUAACGCUCACCAAGGCGACGAUCCGUAGCUGGUUUGAGAGGACGACCAACCAUAAGGACUGAGACACGGCCCAGACUUUCACACGCGGAGACAGCGAUGAAAUUUUGGACAAUGAGAAACCUGAUCCAGCCAUCGCGCGUGUGCGAUGAAGGCCUUCAGGUUGUAAAGCACUUUUGGCAGGAAAGAAACGGCACAGGAUAAUACCCAUGCAACUGACGGUACCUGCAGAAUAAGCACCGGCUAACUACGUGCCAGCAGCCGCGGUAAUACGUAGGGUGCAAGCGUUAAUCAAAUUACUGGGCGUAAAGCGUGCGCAGGCGGUUCGGAAGAAGAUGUGAAAUCUGAGGCUUAACUUUGGAACUGCAUUUUUAACUACCGAGCUAGAGAGUGUGUCAGAGAGUGGAAUUCCGCCAAUGUAGCAGUGAAAUGCGUAGAUAUGCGGAGGAACACCGAUGGCGAAGGCAGCCUCCUGGGAUAACACUGACGCUCAUGCACAGCGUGGGGAGCAAACGGGUUAGAUACCUGGUGAUCCGCGCCCUAAACGAUGUCAACUAGCUGUUGGGGCCUUCGGGCCUUGGUAGCGCAACUAACGCGUGAAGUUGACCGCCUGGGAAAUACGGUCGCAAGAUUAAAACUCAAAGGAAUUGACGGGGACCCGCACAAGCGGUGGAUGAUGUGGAUUAAUUCGAUGCAACGCGAAAAGCCUUACCCUUGACAUGUCUGGAAUCCCGAAGAGAUUUGGGAGUGCUCGCAAAGAGAACCGGAACACAGGUGCUGCAUGGCUGUCGUCAGCUCGUGUCGUGAGAUGUUGGGUUAAGUCCCGCAACGAGCGCAACCCUUGUCAU